UGCAUCGGCCAGGAAUCAAACCCUGGCCGCCCGCGUGGCAGGCGAGCAUUCUACCACUGAACCAUCGAUGC
Molecule: transfer RNA, 71 nt
Filed under: Cordylochernes scorpioides
Lineage: Eukaryota; Metazoa; Arthropoda; Arachnida; Pseudoscorpiones; Chernetidae
Description: tRNA-Gly
Source: RNAcentral